UCUUACAGGGGAAAGGGAAGAUAGGAAAAAAAGCAAAGAAAGCAAGCUAUAAAAAAGACUAGCAAUGCAUUUUCUGGAAAGACUGUUAUUAAACUAACACACCCGAGGUGGAUCUCUUUGGUCCUGCUUAGCACCUGAGCACAUUUUAUUCUUCCAGGUAUCAGCUUGCCUUCAACCUUCCAGAGAAGGGUGAAAAGCCUCUGAGCCACACCUUCAUCUGUUUCACAGUAAUAAUUAACCCUGGCAAAUAAGCAAGAGAGGGUAGCAGAUGCUGUAAUUAUAGCUGAGUACUACACACAGAGCCAAAACCCACUACUGCCUCAGUGUCACCUCUCAGAGUCACAAAGUGCAAGCAGGGGAGGUGCAGACAGACACAGAAUGCAAAGCAGGCUCCAGGCUUGGAGCUGUCAGCACAGAUCCCGAUGCGGGGCCUGAACCCACAGACUGCGAGAUCAUGACCUGAGCUGAAGUCGGUCACUCAACCAACUGAGCCACCCAGGUGCCCUGAGAAUUUUGUCUUCUAAUAGGAAAACUGGAGCACCGUAUGAGCUGGGCUGAAAUCUCUUAUUAAAUAACUUUCUUGCCUCUG
Long non-coding RNA from Neofelis nebulosa (Clouded leopard), 589 nucleotides. RefSeq lists it as uncharacterized. The transcript is spliced from 2 exons. The record is from RefSeq and is a predicted model, not a curated record. Lineage: Eukaryota; Metazoa; Chordata; Mammalia; Carnivora; Felidae.